UUACAGAUAGAGAGAGACUGAGACAGUAAAAAACCCCGCGAAAUAAAUGAAGCUGAGAACUGGAACAGCAUGGACUCUGCUGUGCCCUAAUUUGGUUUUAGGGAAUUAAGAGUUGAUCAUUCAGUGACUGGAACUGGUGGAACUUUAAAUAGCCAUGAGGUUUGGCCUUUGGAAAGGCUUUUCCACAAAUUCAUGAUUAUCCAGUUGGUCUGGCUGAACCUGCCUCCUCUAUUGUAGAAAAGUCUGACUUGGUCUGGCUCUCAUUUUCAAGUUCUAAUAAUUUUCUGAAACAUGUAUUUGCAAAAGAAAGAGAAAGAAUGGACAAGAAAAAGGAGCAGAAACCGUAAGAAAUGGGGAUACAUAACUGGAAGAUAGAAAAUGUAACAAAUUGACACCAAA
Malaclemys terrapin pileata is the source of this 399-nucleotide long non-coding RNA. RefSeq lists it as uncharacterized. The transcript is spliced from 3 exons. The record is from RefSeq and is a predicted model, not a curated record. Lineage: Eukaryota; Metazoa; Chordata; Testudines; Emydidae.